CGAAGGCUCCGAAGCGGACCGUUGGGCCAGGCGGGCCGGCGCGGGCGGGCCGGGAAAAGAGGCUGCCCGCCGGGUGGGGCUGACGGACUCGCCACUUGCACAGCCGCCAGCGCCCCUGGAACACAUCUACGGAGAGGUUCUCUUCCGCUUCGCCCCGAGACGGCGGGAAGGGCCGCCGCGGGCUUGAUCAGAAAUGUGUCUGUCGGCAUCUACGGCGGGGUGCAGCGGAUUUGGCUGGGCGCGCUUAUUCAGGGUAUUACGACGGUUCCCCGACGCCGGCGCUGACGUGUGCGCAGGGGGCGGGGCCACUCGGCCUCCCAGUUCCCGGCCGGAGCCGGGAGUCGGACGCGCUUCGGUGUCGGCGCGGAAAAGCCGCUCCCUGGGGGGCGUGGCGGCGGGGGGGAGUGGAGGGGAGGCGUCAGCCGCGCCGGUGGGUAGAAAAUUGGGCGCCCAGCCCACGCCCAACUUCGCUGGAUCCCUUCCUUCCGGCGUCCGUCCGCCGGAGUCCGCGAGUUUCUACCUGCAGGUGUUUCCUGGCCGCCAGUGACAUGGGCAGUUUCAUGGACGACCGCCCACCCGUAGACCCUGCUGGACCGCAACGCCUCCCCCUUACGCGCCCAAACAAAGAAAUAAAAUGCUGUGUGACGUUUUGGAACGAGUCCGGUCCCGAAUGGUUCCGUGGUUAACUGUGGAACUUGAGGUUUGGAAGGGGCUUCGGGGGUGGUUCAGUGAUGCCAGAUUUUAACUCUGAAUGUAGUCAAAGACUCAAAGAGACUCACCCUGUAUUUCCCUGUAGUAAUUCAUCUUGAUAACAUGGCUUGCUGUCCAAAAACUAAGCCGGCUGAUGCGUUGUGGCAGCAGUUGAAGGUUGCACAGCAUGCAGCGUCACCUAAUUAUACAUCAGGCAGAAGAACAAAAAGUGAACCUCAAGAUAAAAAGAACUUAACAUUAAAUCUAAAAAGAGAAAGCACAGGAGGUGUGAUAAAAUCUGAUGUUAAUUAUUAGGCAGGCACAAGGGAAGUGGGCAUACAUGAAAGAUAGUUUGCAGCACAAUUAUUAGAGUCACUUCUUUCUAGGUUAAAGAGUCAUGUACCUCAGUCAUGGAAGGCAUGCCCUUACAUUAAAAGAUCAUUAAACGUGAUGCUUACAGAAAUUGAGCCACUUUAACUUUAUGACUGUUCACAAAUCCUUACUUCCCAAGAACUCUUCGAUCUGUUUGGAGCGGAAUCUAGCUCUGAAAGGGUUUUUUAUUUGUUUUGUUUUGUUUUUUUAAUGGUUACUUAAAGGAAAAGAAUUCAGUACACUGUGAAUUCUGUUAUGUGAAGGCGUGGAUUAAUUUCCCAUGGCUGCUGUAACAAGUACCUUUAACUGGCUUUGAGAUAACAGAACUCUCUUCUCUCACAGCCCUGAAAGCCAGAAGCCCACAGUCAAGGUGUGGGCCAGGCUGCACUUCCUCUGGAGACUCUGGGCAGAGAAUCCCUUCUUGCCCCUUCCAGCUUCCGGUGGUGGCAUUACUUAGCUUCCUUGGCUUAUGGCCACAUCCCUCCAAUCUCUGCCUCUGUCUUCAUAUUGCCUCCUCUUCUCUCUGUGUCUUCUCAUUUUCUGUGUGCCCCCUAAUGGCAUUUGUCAUUGGAUUUAGUGCCCACCCAGAUAAGCUAGAAUUACCUCAUUUUAAGAUCCUUGAUUAAUCUGCAAAUAUCCUUUUUUUCAAAUUCAUUGAAUAUUGUUCCCCACAUAGUUAUGUCUACCUGGAACCUCAGAAGGUGACCUUAUUGGAAAGUGAGUCUUGCAGAUGUAAUUAGUUAAGAUGAAGUCAUACUGGAUUAAGACGGGUCCUAAAUCCAAUGAUUCAUUUCCUUGUAAGAAGGUCAUGCACAUGAAGACUCACAAGAGGCCAAAACCGGUUUGGCUCAGUGGAUAGAGCGUCGGCCUGCAGACUGAAGGGUCCCGGGUUCGAUUCCGGUCAAGGGCGUGUACCUGGGUUGCGGGCACAUCCC
Molecule: long non-coding RNA, 1997 nt
Organism: Myotis myotis
Lineage: Eukaryota; Metazoa; Chordata; Mammalia; Chiroptera; Vespertilionidae
Exons: 3
Source: RefSeq, a predicted model, not a curated record